UUACACUUCCCUUUCCUUUCUGUAUAGACGGACGCUCUCAUCUCUCUCUUUCUGGUUCUAGAAAUUUCAGUCGACACCCAACACUAAUUUCAGAAAUCCCAGACCACACCUCACAUCCUUCUGAGAUUGUGAAGACUCUCUCCUAGAAGCCAUUUUUUAGAAAAUUAGUUUGUACAGCGAAAUGGAGGGGCCGCCAAACAGUCUUAAACCGUCAAGUCAACUUCAAGAUCGACCCACAAGCAACUACCGAGUCACUUUCUUCAUUCCGACUAAGCUGCAGCGACGUGACUCGCAAAUGGCGUUCAUAAACGUCGUUCUUAUACUCACUUUCUUCCCUUUUUUAGUGGUUCCAGUUUUGAAAGUUGAUCACUUUCGAAGUCCAUAAUCAGCGACUGUAUAUACUGUUUCCUGUUUCUUUAGUGUUACUAUACUGGCCAAGAAUUCUCCAUUUGCACAUGCAGUGAAAGUGUUUUAACGUAUAGUCGCAGAUCGACAUUUUUUUAAUCCCUGGAUCUGAUUUCUUCGGCAUUACCCCAAAAGCAACGGCUGUACACAAUGAAAGUACACCACUCAAAAAGCACCUAUCUACACAAAGAAGUUUAUUUCUCAAUUUCGAAUAUAUAGGCAGUUCAAAUAAGGCUGGAAAUGUUCAAUUAAGUCACCAAAAGCAAGAUCCAGUGCAUAAUUGAGGCCCUUUUUCUUUUUUGAAAAGAGUCAUUUGGUGUUAAACCCAUAAUAAUAGAAUGGGAAUACUAUUGGCUCUAAGACUUCAUUGGUGGAAGAAACUCAUAGACUCUAAUUUGAAUUUCAUAUGUACGCACACCAUCAAGCUUUGAUAGCACUGCUUGUUUUCAAAGGAGAGAUGCCACCGGCAAGAAUGUAGAGAGGUGCCAUGAUGUUUGAAAUUUGUAUUUGUAUUCUGAUAAUAUCUUUAAUUUUCAGUGUUUGUAUUUGAUAUCAACUGAGGUGUUUUAUAGUUGUACAUAAACUCUGCUAUUGAAGGUAAUUAAUGCUAAAACUUUGGAGAUCAAA
Long non-coding RNA from Ipomoea triloba (trilobed morning glory), 1032 nucleotides. RefSeq lists it as uncharacterized. The record is from RefSeq and is a predicted model, not a curated record. The transcript is spliced from 4 exons. Lineage: Eukaryota; Viridiplantae; Streptophyta; Magnoliopsida; Solanales; Convolvulaceae.